Molecule: ribosomal RNA, 470 nt
Filed under: uncultured bacterium
Lineage: Bacteria
Description: bacterial SSU rRNA
Rfam family: Bacterial small subunit ribosomal RNA
Source: RNAcentral
CGUGCCUAACGACAUGCAAGUCGAACGAAGCGUCCUGAUCUGAGUCCUUCGGGUGAAGUGAAGGAAGACUUAGUGGCGGACGGGUGAGUAACGCGUGAGCAACCUGCCUUUCAAGGGGGAUAACAGUUGGAAACGACUGCUAAUACCGCAUAACGUACAGAUGUCGCAUGGCAUAUGUACCAAAGCUGAGGCGCUGAGAGAUGGGCUCGCGUCCGAUUAGAUAGUUGGUGGGGUAACGGCCUACCAAGUCGACGAUCGGUAGCCGGACUGAGAGGUUGAACGGCCACAUUGGGACUGAGAUACGGCCCAGACUCCUACGGGAGGCAGCAGUGGGGGAUAUUGCACAAUGGGCGAAAGCCUGAUGCAGCAACGCCGCGUGAGGGAAGACGGUUUUAGGAUUGUAAACCUCUGUCUUUGGUGAAGAAGGAAGUGACGGUAGCCAAGGAGGAAGCCACGGCUAACUACGUGCC